Molecule: ribosomal RNA, 397 nt
Filed under: uncultured bacterium
Lineage: Bacteria
Description: partial 16S ribosomal RNA
Rfam family: Bacterial small subunit ribosomal RNA
Source: RNAcentral
AUACGUAGGUGACAAGCGUUAUCCGGAUUUACUGGGCGUAAAGGGCGUGUAGGCGGUCUUGCAAGUCAGAAGUGAAAUUCCUGAGCUCAACUCGGGCGCUGCUUCUGAAACUGCAGGACUUGAGUGCUGGAGGGGAUAGCGGAAUUCCUAGUGGAGCGGUAAAAUGCGCAGAUAUUAGGAAGAACACCGGUGGCGAAGGCGGCUAUCUGGAAAGUAACUGACGCUCAGGCGCGAAAGCGUGGGGAGCAAACAGGAUUAGAUCCCCUGGUAGUCCACGCCGUAAACGAUGAAUACUAGGUGUAGGGGGUAUCGACUCCCUCUGUGCCGCAGUUAACACAAUAAGUAUUCCGCCUGGGGAGUACGGCCGCAAGGUUGAAACUCAAAUGAAUUGACGGGG